GAGCUUGCUCUCUGGGUGGCGAGUGGCGGACGGGUGAGGAAUACAUCGGAAUCUACUUUUUCGUGGGGGAUAACGUAGGGAAACUUACGCUAAUACCGCAUACGACCUACGGGUGAAAGCAGGGGAUCUUCGGACCUUGCGCGAUUGAAUGAGCCGAUGUCGGAUUAGCUAGUUGGCGGGGUAAAGGCCCACCAAGGCGACGAUCCGUAGCUGGUCUGAGAGGAUGAUCAGCCACACUGGAACUGAGACACGGUCCAGACUCCUACGGGAGGCAGCAGUGGGGAAUAUUGGACAAUGGGCGCAAGCCUGAUCCAGCCAUACCGCGUGGGUGAAGAAGGCCUUCGGGUUGUAAAGCCCUUUUGUUGGGAAAGAAAUCCAGCUGGUUAAUACCCGGUUGGGAUGACGGUACCCAAAGAAUAAGCACCGGCUAACUUCGUGCCAGCAGCCGCGGUAAUACGAAGGGUGCAAGCGUUACUCGGAAUUACUGGGCGUAAAGCGUGCGUAGGUGGUCGUUUAAGUCCGUUGUGAAAGCCCUGGGCUCAACCUGGGAACUGCAGUGGAUACUGGGCGACUAGAAUGUGGUAGAGGGUAGCGGAAUUCCUGGUGUAGCAGUGAAAUCGCGUAGAGAUCAGGAGGAACAUCCAUGGCGAAGGCAGCUACCUGGACCAACACUUGACACUGAGGCACGAAAGCGUGGGGAGCAAACAGGAUUAGAUACCUGGUAGUCCACGCCCUAAACGAUGCGAACUGGAUGUUGGG
RNAcentral lists this ribosomal RNA (759 nucleotides) under Stenotrophomonas sp. GA94-2. RNAcentral describes it as "bacterial SSU rRNA". It matches the Rfam family "Bacterial small subunit ribosomal RNA", at positions 76 to 827 of the family's 1533-position model. Lineage: Bacteria; Pseudomonadati; Pseudomonadota; Gammaproteobacteria; Lysobacterales; Lysobacteraceae. The record is from RNAcentral.